UGGGGAAUUUUGGACAAUGGGCGAAAGCCUGAUCCAGCAAUGCCGCGUGUGUGAAGAAGGCCUCCGGGUUGUAAAGCACUUUUGUCCGGAAAGAAAUCCUUGGCUCUAAUACAGUCGGGGGAUGACGGUACCGGAAGAAUAAGCACCGGCUAACUACGUGCCAGCAGCCGCGGUAAUACGUAGGGUGCAAGCGUUAAUCGGAAUUACUGGGCGUAAAGCGUGCGCAGGCGGUUUGCUAAGACCGAUGUGAAAUCCCCGGGCUCAACCUGGGAACUGCAUUGGUGACUGGCAGGCUAGAGUAUGGCAGAGGGGGGUAGAAUUCCACGUGUAACAGUGAAAUGCGUAGAGAUGUGGAGGAAUACCGAUGGCGAAGGCAGCCCCCUGGGCCAAUACUGACGCUCAUGCACGAAAGCGUGGGGGAGCAAACAGGAUUAGAUACCCUGGUAGUCCACGCCCUAAACGAUGUCAACUAGUUGUUGGGGAUUCAUUUCCUUAGUAACGUAGCUAACGCGUGAAGUUGACCGCCUGGGGAGUACGGUCGCAAGAUUAAAACUCAAAGGAAUUGACGGGGUCAUAGCUGUUUCCU
This 586-nucleotide ribosomal RNA is filed under the name uncultured bacterium. RNAcentral's name for it is "partial 16S ribosomal RNA". It matches the Rfam family "Bacterial small subunit ribosomal RNA", at positions 355 to 1375 of the family's 1533-position model. The record is from RNAcentral.